GCAUGUCUAAGUGUAAAUAUUUUACAGUGAAACUGCGAAGAGCUCAUUACAACAGUUAUGGUUUGCUUGAAGUAUUUCCACCGGAUAACUGUGGAAAUCCUACAGCUAAUACGUAGCAGCUUCUUUUGAAGUGUUGCAUAUUAGUUUGGGCUGAUUGCGGCUUGCCGUAAUUAUUUGAACAAUUGUAUGCACAAAUCGGUUCUUCCGAGAGUUCAUCAAAGUUUCUGACCUAUCAGGUUCCGACGGUAGGGUAUUGGCUUACCGUGCCUAUGACGGGUAACGGGGGAUGAGGGUUCGAUCCCGGAGAGGGAGCUUGAGAGAUAGCUACCACAUCUAAGGAAGGCAGCAGGCGCGCAAAUUACCUAUCCCUGACACAGGGAGGUAGUAAACAGAAAUAAUGACGCAUGAUUAUUCGUGCGAUUGGAAUGAAUAGCACUUAAACGUUGCUAUGAAAUCGAUUGGAGGGCAAGUCUGGUGCCAGCAGCCGCGGUAAUUCCAGCUCCAAUAGCGUAUAUUAAAGUUGUUGCAGUUAAAACGUUCGUAGUCGAACUUAGUUUGCUUCAGCAGAGCAUGUAUUCAUUAUACAUCUUUGCCUUUAGCGGAGAUGAUAUAGUUUCAUACACAUGCUUCAUGUGGUGGAUCUAUAUGUUACUUUGAGUGAAUCGGCGUGCUCAACGCAGGCGUUUGCCUUGAACGAUUUACCAUAGUAUAAACAGAUUAUAAGAGCAUUUUUUUAUCAGUUCGAAAAUGCUUUUUAUAAAGAAAGGAACGGCUGGGGGCAUUCGUAUUCAAUUGCCAGAGGUGAAAUUCUUUGACUAGUUGAGGACGAACCACUGCGAAAGCAUCUGCCAAGGACGUUUCCUUUGAUCAAGAACGAAAGUUAGGUGAUCGAAGAUGAUUAGAUACCGUCGUAGUCCUGACUAUAAACUAUGCUAUCCAAGAAUUGGAUUGGUGAUUUAAUGCUCUUCCAGUACUUUAUGAGAAAUCAUAAGUCUCUGAGUUCUGGGGGGAGUAUAGUUGCAAGGCUGAAACUUAAAGGAAUUGACGGAAGGGCACCACCAGGAGUGGAGCUUGCGGCUUAAUUUGACUCAACACGGGAAAACUUACCAGGACAAGACAUAAGAAGGAUUGACAGAUUGAUCGCUCUUUCUUGAUGUUAUGGGUGGUGGUGCAUGGCCGUUCUUAGUUCGUGGAGUAAUCUGUCAGGUCAAUUCCGAUAACGAACGAGACCUUAUCUUACUAAUUGGAGAAACUGAAAUGUAACAGUUGUCUUCCAUUAGAAGGACUCUAUGUGUUUAACAUAAGGAAGUUUGAGGCAAUAACAGGUCUGUGAUGCCCUUAGAUGUUCUGGGCAGCACGCGUGCUACAUUGGUGCAUAUACUGUGUCUCGUAAUUCGAAAGGAUUGCGGAAUCAUCAAUAUGCAUCAACACUGGGAUUGCUUGUUGUAAUGUCAAGCAUGAACGAGGAAUUCCUAGUAAGCGCGUAUCAUUAAUUCGUGUUGAUUAUGUCCCUGCCCUUUGUACACACCGCCUGUCGCACCUAUCGAUUAGGUAACAUGGUGAAUACAAUGGAGAUGAUGUUGAGAAUUUCAUUUCUUAAAUGUUGUUAAAAUUGCGUAAACC
This 1623-nucleotide ribosomal RNA is filed under the name Veloxidium leptosynaptae. Its description in RNAcentral is "SSU rRNA". It matches the Rfam family "Eukaryotic small subunit ribosomal RNA". The record is from RNAcentral. Lineage: Eukaryota; Apicomplexa; Conoidasida; Archigregarinorida; Selenidioididae.